Molecule: ribosomal RNA, 497 nt
Filed under: uncultured bacterium
Lineage: Bacteria
Description: partial 16S ribosomal RNA
Rfam family: Bacterial small subunit ribosomal RNA
Source: RNAcentral
GAUGAACGCUGGCGGCGUGCCUAAUACAUGCAAGUCGAGCGAACGGACGAGAAGCUUGCUUUUCUGAUGUUAGCGGCGGACGGGUGAGUAACACGUGGAUAACCUACCUAUAAGACUGGGAUAACUUCGGGAAACCGGAGCUAAUACCGGAUAAUAUUUUGAACCGCAUGGUUCAAAAGUGAAAGACGGUCUUGCUGUCACUUAUAGAUGGAUCCGCGCUGCAUUAGCUAGUCGGUAAGGUAACGGCUUACCAAGGCAACGAUGCAUAGCCGACCUGAGAGGGUGAUCGGCCACACUGGAACUGAGACACGGUCCAGACUCCUACGGGAGGCAGCAGUAGGGAAUCUUCCGCAAUGGGCGAAAGCCUGACGGAGCAACGCCGCGUGAGUGAUGAAGGUCUUCGGAUCGUAAAACUCUGUUAUUAGGGAAGAACAUAUGUGUAAGUAACUGUGCACAUCUUGACGGUACCUAAUCAGAAAGCCACGGCUAACUACGUG